ACCGGCGCACGGGUGCGUAACGCGUAUGCAAUCUACCUUGUACAGGGGAAUAGCCCAGAGAAAUUUGGAUUAAUGCCCCAUAGUAUAUAACCUUCGCAUGUUGGUUAUAUUAAAGUUCCAACGGUACAAGAUGAGCAUGCGUCCCAUUAGUUAGUUGGUAAGGUAACGGCUUACCAAGACGAUGAUGGGUAGGGGUCCUGAGAGGGAGAUCCCCCACACUGGUACUGAGACACGGACCAGACUCCUACGGGAGGCAGCAGUGAGGAAUAUUGGUCAAUGGUCGCAAGACUGAACCAGCCAUGCCGCGUGCAGGAAGACGGUCCUAUGGAUUGUAAACUGCUUUUAUACAGGAAGAAACCCUCCCACGUGUGGGAGCUUGACGGUACUGUAGGAAUAAGGGUCGGCUAACUCCGUGCCAGCAGCCGCGGUAAUACGGAGGAUCCAAGCGUUAUCCGGAAUCAUUGGGUUUAAAGGGUCCGUAGGCGGUCUUAUAAGUCAGUGGUGAAAGCCCAUCGCUCAACGAUGGAACUGCCAUUGAUACUGUAAGACUUGAAUGCUUAGGAAGUAACUAGAAUAUGUAGUGUAGCGGUGAAAUGCUUAGAUAUUACAUGGAAUACCAAUUGCGAAGGCAGGUUACUACUAAGUGAUUGACGCUGAUGGACGAAAGCGUGGGGAGCGAACAGGAUUAGAUACCCUGGUA
This 700-nucleotide ribosomal RNA is filed under the name uncultured bacterium. RNAcentral describes it as "bacterial SSU rRNA". It matches the Rfam family "Bacterial small subunit ribosomal RNA", at positions 94 to 792 of the family's 1533-position model. The record is from RNAcentral.